UGGGGAAUUUUCCGCAAUGGGCGAAAGCCUGACGGAGCAAUACCGCGUGAGGGAGGAAGGCUCUUGGGUUGUAAACCUCUUUUCUCAGGGAAGAACACAAUGACGGUACCUGAGGAAUCAGCAUCGGCUAACUCCGUGCCAGCAGCCGCGGUAAUACGGAGGAUGCAAGCGUUAUCCGGAAUGAUUGGGCGUAAAGCGUCCGCAGGUGGCGAUGUAAGUCUGCUGUUAAAGAGUGAGGCUCAACCUCAUAAGAGCAGUGGAAACUACAUAGCUAGAGUGCGUUCGGGGCAGAGGGAAUUCCUGGUGUAGCGGUGAAAUGCGUAGAUAUCAGGAAGAACACCGGUGGCGAAAGCGCUCUGCUAGGCCGCAACUGACACUGAGGGACGAAAGCUAGGGGAGCGAAWGGGAUUAGAUACCCCCWGUAGUCA
Molecule: ribosomal RNA, 428 nt
Filed under: uncultured Nostocaceae cyanobacterium
Lineage: Bacteria; Bacillati; Cyanobacteriota; Cyanophyceae; Nostocales; Nostocaceae
Description: bacterial SSU rRNA
Rfam family: Bacterial small subunit ribosomal RNA
Source: RNAcentral